RNAcentral lists this ribosomal RNA (1346 nucleotides) under uncultured bacterium. Its description in RNAcentral is "bacterial SSU rRNA". It matches the Rfam family "Bacterial small subunit ribosomal RNA", at positions 28 to 1381 of the family's 1533-position model. The record is from RNAcentral.
GACGAACGCUGGCGGCGUGCUUAACACAUGCAAGUCGAACGGAAAGGCCCUGCUUUUGUGGGGUGCUCGAGUGGCGAACGGGUGAGUAACACGUGAGUAACCUGCCCUUGACUUUGGGAUAACUUCAGGAAACUGGGGCUAAUACCGGAUAGGAGCUCCUGCUGCAUGGUGGGGGUUGGAAAGUUUCGGCGGUUGGGGAUGGACUCGCGGCUUAUCAGCUUGUUGGUGGGGUAGUGGCUUACCAAGGCUUUGACGGGUAGCCGGCCUGAGAGGGUGACCGGCCACAUUGGGACUGAGAUACGGCCCAGACUCCUACGGGAGGCAGCAGUGGGGAAUAUUGCACAAUGGGCGGAAGCCUGAUGCAGCAACGCCGCGUGCGGGAUGACGGCCUUCGGGUUGUAAACCGCUUUCGCCUGUGACGAAGCGUGAGUGACGGUAAUGGGUAAAGAAGCACCGGCUAACUACGUGCCAGCAGCCGCGGUGAUACGUAGGGUGCGAGCGUUGUCCGGAUUUAUUGGGCGUAAAGGGCUCGUAGGUGGUUGAUCGCGUCGGAAGUGUAAUCUUGGGGCUUAACCCUGAGCGUGCUUUCGAUGCGGGUUGACUUGAGGAAGGUAGGGGAGAAUGGAAUUCCUGGUGGAGCGGUGGAAUGCGCAGAUAUCAGGAGGAACACCAGUGGCGAAGGCGGUUCUCUGGGCCUUUCCUGACGCUGAGGAGCGAAAGCGUGGGGAGCGAACAGGCUUAGAUACCCUGGUAGUCCACGCUGUAAACGGUGGGUACUAGGUGUGGGGUCCAUUCCACGGGUUCCGUGCCGUAGCUAACGCUUUAAGUACCCCGCCUGGGGAGUACGGCCGCAAGGCUAAAACUCAAAGGAAUUGACGGGGCCCCGCACAAGCGGCGGAGCAUGCGGAUUAAUUCGAUGCAACGCGUAGAACCUUACCUGGGUUUGACAUGGAUCGGGAGUGCUCAGAGAUGGGUGUGCCUCUUUUGGGGUCGGUUCACAGGUGGUGCAUGCCUGUCGUCAGCUCGUGUCGUGAGAUGUUGGGUUAAGUCCCGCAACGAGCGCAACCCUUGUUCACUGUUGCCAGCACGUUAUGGUGGGGACUCAGUGGAGACCGCCGGGGUCAACUCGGAGGAAGGUGGGGAUGACGUCAAGUCCUCAUGCCCCUUAUGUCCAGGGCUUCACGCAUGCUACAAUGGCUGGUACAGAGAGUGGCGAGCCUGUGAGGGUGAGCGAAUCUCGGAAAGCCGGUCUCAGUUCGGAUUGGGGUCUGCAACUCGACCUCAUGAAGUCGGAGUCGCUAGUAAUCGCAGAUCAGCAACGCUGCGGUGAAUACGUUCCCGGGGCU